UAAGGGAGAACUCAAGCCCAAAGGAGAUGGUGCCGGAGAAGUUAAUUUCUUUGCAGGAGCCGGAGCAGGAGUUGAUGCAAGUGGUGCAGGAGAAGGCGCUGCCGGAGGAGGUGGAGGGGUAGCGGGUGGAGGUGGAGAGUUCACUUGCGGAGGAGGAGAAGCAGGAGGAGUGGGAGGUGGUGUAGAUGAAACGACCGGUGGUGGUGAAGCAGUUGGUGGUGGCUGAGCCGGUGGCGUUUGAGUGUUAACUGGAGGAGGAGAACUAUUGGGUGUUGGUGGAGCUUGGUUCGUGGGUGUUGGUGGUGCCUGGGUAGUGGGUGUAGGAGGAGCUUGGUUCGUGGGUGUUGGUGGUGCCUGGGUAGUGGGUGUAGGUGGUGCUUGGGUAGUAGGGGGUGUAGGAGGAGCUUGGUUAGUGGGUGUUGGUGGUGCCUGGUUAGUGGGUGUAGGUGGUGCUUGGGUAGUAGGGGGUGUUGGUGGUGCUUGAGUAGGUGUUGGUGGUCCUGGAGGUGCUUGACCACCAACUCCAGCUAUGAUAAUGCAGAUCAUAAAUCCCAACGAAACAGCAUUAUUCCUAUCCAUCAUUUUGACAAUAUAAUGGAGAGGAGGAAAUUGAA
This 614-nucleotide long non-coding RNA is filed under the name Capsicum annuum. RNAcentral's name for it is "long non-coding RNA (CANN_LNC007919)". The record is from RNAcentral. Lineage: Eukaryota; Viridiplantae; Streptophyta; Magnoliopsida; Solanales; Solanaceae.